GUUAGGAAUAUUGGACAAUGGGCGCAAGCCUGAUCCAGCCAUGCCGCGUGAGUGAUGAAGGCCUUCGGGUUGUAAAGUUCUUUAGCCGAUGAUUAUAAUGACUGUAGUCGGAAAAUAAGCCCCGGCUAACUUCGUGCCAGCAGCCGCGGUAAUACGAAGGGGGCGAGCGUUAGUCGGAAUCACUGGGCGUAAAGCGUGCGUAGGCGGUUUUGUAAGUUAGGAGUGAAAGCCCAGGGCUCAACCUUGGAAUUGCUCUUAAAACUGCAAGGCUCGAAUCUCGGAGAGGAUAGCGGAAUUUCCAGUGUAGCAGUGAAAUGCGUAGAUAUUGGAAGGAACACCAGUGGCGUAAGCGGCUAUCUGGACGAGUAUUGACGCUGAGGCACGAAAGCGUGGGGAUCAAACAGGAUUAGAAACCCUUGUAGUCC
RNAcentral lists this ribosomal RNA (425 nucleotides) under uncultured bacterium. RNAcentral describes it as "partial 16S ribosomal RNA". It matches the Rfam family "Bacterial small subunit ribosomal RNA", at positions 354 to 796 of the family's 1533-position model. The record is from RNAcentral.